Long non-coding RNA from Cynoglossus semilaevis (tongue sole), 915 nucleotides. RefSeq lists it as uncharacterized. NCBI's taxonomy places the organism in Eukaryota, Metazoa, Chordata, Actinopteri, Pleuronectiformes, Cynoglossidae. The record is from RefSeq and is a predicted model, not a curated record. The transcript has 3 exons.
GAAUCCUACAGUGAAUGGAAACAGAAAAAAGUCGGAACUAAGUAUAUGUAAGAAGCCAUACAAUUGCUUUUAAAUUUCAUAACUGAUUCUAAACUGUGUGUCAGGAGAAUCUCUGCUUCAUUUUUUUUACCAUACGUACAGCCUACAUUUACCAACUCAUAAAAAUACCUUAAAAAUACCCAUCCCAUACCAGUACUCUUUGUCUAUUUAAGGUCAUUCUUUUUUUAGCCUGUCUGUUACUUUUAACAACUGAUUUCAAAAUAUAUUUAGAAAAACGUUUUUAACCUGCACAGACUUCCUCUGACAAAAAUACAAAAUGUCACUUGACAAUAGUUUAAAUUUGUUUAUAAUGUAACAUGGUACUGUUUACAGUUCAACAGGGAACUGUAAAGAACAAAAAGUUACGUUAAAAAAAUAUAUUUUACGUUAUACUACGGAGCCCCUAAGGGGACACGGAGGCAAAUGAACAUUUUGUCGCUCACCUGAAACUUAAAAGUAUUUUUUACUUAUUUAUUCCCCCCUCCCCCAUGUCCCUUUAGGCGAUCCGUAUUUUUACGAAGCUGUUUUGCAGAGGUUAAAGUUGAAAGUGUAGUCGGUUUAAAUGUUUCUACUUGUUUCUGUGUGUGGAGAAGGUCACGGCUGAACAAAGGUGGGAAAUUAUAAAACUUAAAACAGCUUUGUGUCUUUUUCGGGGCCUCAGGUUCUGGACACAAAUCACAAGCCCACCCUGGACCACCAGUGGACAUCAUCCAUUCAGCCUCACAUUUAUAACAGUGGUUAGCACAGCAGCUCACAUCCGUCCAGGCCAGGAGAGGAGCUGUUGCAUGUUCUCCCGGAGGUUCCCAAAGUGCCAGUUUUGCCAUUGUAGGAGCAGAAGUUUGGUGAUUUCUCAUAAUAGACCAGGUCCAUGGCAGA